AGUGAACGCUGGCGGUAGGCCUAACACAUGCAAGUCGAACGGCAGCACAGUAAGAGCUUGCUCUUACGGGUGGCGAGUGGCGGACGGGUGAGGAAUACAUCGGAAUCUACUUUUUCGUGGGGGAUAACGUAGGGAAACUUACGCUAAUACCGCAUACGACCUACGGGUGAAAGCAGGGGAUCUUCGGACCUUGCGCGAUUGAAUGAGCCGAUGUCGGAUUAGCUAGUUGGCGGGGUAAAGGCCCACCAAGGCGACGAUCCGUAGCUGGUCUGAGAGGAUGAUCAGCGACACUGGAACUGAGACACGGUCCAGACUCCUGCGGGAGGCAGCAGUGGGGAAUAUUAGACAAUGGGCGCAAGCCUGGUCCAGCCAUACCGCGUGGGUGAAGAAGGCCUUCGGGUUGUAAAGCCCUUUUGUUGGGAAAGAAAAGCAGCAGGUUAAUACCCCGCUGUUCUGACGGUACCCAAAGAAUAAGCACCGGCUAACUUCGUG
Molecule: ribosomal RNA, 492 nt
Filed under: uncultured bacterium
Lineage: Bacteria
Description: partial 16S ribosomal RNA
Rfam family: Bacterial small subunit ribosomal RNA
Source: RNAcentral